ACGGGUGAGUAACGCGUGGGAAUCUACCCAUCCCUACGGAAUAACGCAUGGAAACGUGUGCUAAUACCGUAUACGCCCUACGGGGGAAAGAUUUAUCGGGGAUGGAUGAGCCCGCGUUGGAUUAGCUAGUUGGUGGGGUAAAGGCCUACCAAGGCGACGAUCCAUAGCUGGUCUGAGAGGAUGAUCAGCCACAUUGGGACUGAGACACGGCCCAAACUCCUACGGGAGGCAGCAGUGGGGAAUAUUGGACAAUGGGCGCAAGCCUGAUCCAGCCAUGCCGCGUGAGUGAUGAAGGCCUUAGGGUUGUAAAGCUCUUUCACCGGAGAAGAUAAUGACGGUAUCCGGAGAAGAAGCCCCGGCUAACUUCGUGCCAGCAGCCGCGGUAAUACGAAGGGGGCUAGCGUUGUUCGGAAUUACUGGGCGUAAAGCGCACGUAGGCGGACUUUUAAGUCAGGG
Molecule: ribosomal RNA, 456 nt
Filed under: uncultured bacterium
Lineage: Bacteria
Description: bacterial SSU rRNA
Rfam family: Bacterial small subunit ribosomal RNA
Source: RNAcentral